RNAcentral lists this ribosomal RNA (529 nucleotides) under Salmonella enterica subsp. enterica serovar Newport. Its description in RNAcentral is "partial 23S ribosomal RNA". It matches the Rfam family "Bacterial large subunit ribosomal RNA", at positions 1 to 560 of the family's 2925-position model. Lineage: Bacteria; Pseudomonadati; Pseudomonadota; Gammaproteobacteria; Enterobacterales; Enterobacteriaceae. The record is from RNAcentral.
GGGUUGUGAGGUUAAGCGACUAAGCGUACACGGUGGAUGCCCUGGCAGUCAGAGGCGAUGAAGGACGUGCUAAUCUGCGAUAAGCGCCGGUAAGGUGAUAUGAACCGUUAUAACCGGCGAUUUCCGAAUGGGGAAACCCAGUGUGAUUCGUCACACUAUCAUUAACUGAAUCCAUAGGUUAAUGAGGCGAACCGGGGGAACUGAAACAUCUAAGUACCCCGAGGAAAAGAAAUCAACCGAGAUUCCCCCAGUAGCGGCGAGCGAACGGGGAGGAGCCCAGAGCCUGAAUCAGCAUGUGUGUUAGUGGAAGCGUCUGGAAAGGCGCGCGAUACAGGGUGACAGCCCCGUACACAAAAGCGCAUGUGCUGUGAGCUCGAUGAGUAGGGCGGGACACGUGGUAUCCUGUCUGAAUAUGGGGGGACCAUCCUCCAAGGCUAAAUACUCCUGACUGACCGAUAGUGAACCAGUACCGUGAGGGAAAGGCGAAAAGAACCCCGGCGAGGGGAGUGAAAAAGAACCUGAAACCGUG